Molecule: ribosomal RNA, 523 nt
Filed under: uncultured Geobacillus sp.
Lineage: Bacteria; Bacillati; Bacillota; Bacilli; Caryophanales; Anoxybacillaceae
Description: partial 16S ribosomal RNA
Source: RNAcentral
CACGUAGUUAGCCGGGGCUUCCUCGUCAGGUACCGUCACCGCGCCGCCCUCUUCGAACGGCGCGCCUUCUUCCCUGACAACAGAGCUUUACGACCCGAAGGCCUUCCUCGCUCACGCGGCGUCGCUCCGUCAGGCUUUCGCCCAUUGCGGAAGAUUCCCUACUGCUGCCUCCCGUAGGAGUCUGGGCCGUGUCUCAGUCCCAGUGUGGCCGUCCACCCUCUCAGGCCGGCUACGCAUCGUCGCCUUGGUGGGCCGUUACCCCACCAACUAGCUAAUGCGCCGCGGGCCCAUCCGUAAGUGGCAGCCAAAGGCCGCCUUUCAACCGGAAGCCAUGCGGCCCCCGGUGUUAUCCGGUAUUAGCCCCGGUUUCCCGGAGUUAUCCCGGUCUUACGGGCAGGUUACCCACGUGUUACUCACCCGUCCGCCGCUGAGCCCGAAAAGGAGCAAGCUCCCCUCGGGCUCCGCCCGACUUGCAUGUAUUAGGCACGCCGCCAGCGUUCGUCCUGAGCCAGGAUCAAACUCU